This 465-nucleotide ribosomal RNA is filed under the name Vreelandella stevensii. Its description in RNAcentral is "partial 16S ribosomal RNA". It matches the Rfam family "Bacterial small subunit ribosomal RNA", at positions 338 to 795 of the family's 1533-position model. The record is from RNAcentral. Lineage: Bacteria; Pseudomonadati; Pseudomonadota; Gammaproteobacteria; Oceanospirillales; Halomonadaceae.
CCUACGGGCGGCAGCAGUGGGGAAUAUUGGACAAUGGGGGCAACCCUGAUCCAGCCAUGCCGCGUGUGUGAAGAAGGCCCUCGGGUUGUAAAGCACUUUCAGUGAGGAAGAACGCCUGGUGGUUAAUACCCAUCAGGAAAGACAUCACUCACAGAAGAAGCACCGGCUAACUCCGUGCCAGCAGCCGCGGUAAUACGGAGGGUGCGAGCGUUAAUCGGAAUUACUGGGCGUAAAGCGCGCGUAGGUGGCUUGAUAAGCCGGUUGUGAAAGCCCCGGGCUCAACCUGGGAACAGCAUCCGGAACUGUCAAGCUAGAGUGCAGGAGAGGAAGGUAGAAUUCCCGGUGUAGCGGUGAAAUGCGUAGAGAUCGGGAGGAAUACCAGUGGCGAAGGCGGCCUUCUGGACUGACACUGACACUGAGGUGCGAAAGCGUGGGUAGCAAACAGGAUUAGAUACCCUAGUAGUC